CCCUACUGACGGUAGAGGAGUAAAACUGCUCGGUGGGAACAUUUGAUUCUCUAGAGAGAGUUGACUAUUGAGAAAUAUACUAAGGACAAAGCUGCCAGGUACGCUCAGAAGAUGAGAAAAAGCUUGGGAUUGCUUCAGAUCGUUUUUUCAGGUAAGAAAAAUCAUUUUACAUUACAUAGUCAUAAUUAUCAGACAAGUGCUAAGCAAGGAAGUAUAAUACGAAAAGGCUCUCCUGAUAUAAUAUCUCAGAUAAUUGUAAAGAAAUAUGUUGUCAUCAGUUGCAAAACAGAUCUUUCUACUUUUAUAUUUUUGCUCAAGAAACUACAGUGUACGUUGUGAUAUUCUUCUCUUGCUGGCUCUGUGACACACUUCAUUAUAGGUCAUUCUGGCAUGUAUUGAUGACACACUUUUUAGCAUGUCCUCAUAUGAGUAGCACUGAUAAUGUGUCAUUAAAGCUGGGACAUGGAUUACCUAGGAUGUUCAGAUGGCCUCCUGGGCAUUGUCCAUAGAAACUAUUGAAGAUACUGGUUGAAAAGAAAAGAAAGCCACGAGGGUGCUGUGAACUGUGAACAUGAAGGAGAGAAAAAUUGACAAGGUGGGAAAUUUCAUGUGAUCUCAGCUUGUUUUUUUUUUUGUUUUUUUGUUUUUUUAAAUAUUAUCUUCAGUGUCCCAGCCUGCCAUUAUCCAGUUAUAGCUUACAUUGUUCAUUCCUUAAGGCAGCUGGUAGGAGAGCAAAGCAAGGCCUUGCCUUGAAGAACAUACAGUUUGUUCAGAGAGGUGCAACAUACUGUCAUGUUUUACCUUACGAUCAGUGAGAUUAGUAGAGGAAAACUGUUAAAAAGAGUGAGUUAAAAGCAGAUAAUUGAAGGUAGGUUUGUUGGUCUGUAAGUCAGUAUGAACGAGCUGAUAAAGCCACCUUUGGGAGGAGACAAGUCAGGAGCAUGUAAGGAUGUUGAGUCUAUAAUAUAACAAGUCAGUUAACAAUGGAGAAAGACUUUGUGGGGGAGGGAAAAGGAAUUCCUAUUUCUCAGUCACAUGAUAAAUAUAAAUCACUGCCUCAUGCACUUACUGCCGCAUUACAUACAUGCUUCUGAAAGGGCAUAUUUCCCUGCAAGGUUUGUCACAGGUAAGAAAAAAGAAGACAGUAAAAAGUGAUUAGAAGAAGGGAGGUAUUUUAUCUGUUACUUAUCUAAUCAGUCUGCAAACGUUUGCUUUGCUUUUGUCAAAAACUGGGCCAGAAAAACCCUGAGAUCCAAUUUCUAGGCUUCAUUUUUAAUUUGCGAUACUUAUCUCUGUUGGUAAGCUUAAAAUGCCCUAUUUACCAUGCGGUUUUAAUAAACCACACUGAGUAGCAGAUAUAUUAUGUGUGUCUUGCAUACAAACACUGCAUUUUUUUUUUUUAAUACUCAAUUUGUAAAUAAAGUUUCUCACUUGAACAGAUCGACAAGCCCUCAAGAAUUUCCAUUGCCUUUCAAGCAUGUGAAUGAUUUUAGGACUAACUGUGAAAAGUUAGCCAAUUCGAUCAAAUAAAGCAAUGAUGUUAAAAUGAAGUUUGUUCUUUCUGGUUAGUUCUCUCAUUGCUCCAUUUUAUAUCUAUCUAUCUAU
RNAcentral lists this long non-coding RNA (1605 nucleotides) under Gallus gallus (chicken). The record is from RNAcentral. Lineage: Eukaryota; Metazoa; Chordata; Aves; Galliformes; Phasianidae.